Molecule: unclassified non-coding RNA, 218 nt
Filed under: Hevea brasiliensis (rubber tree)
Lineage: Eukaryota; Viridiplantae; Streptophyta; Magnoliopsida; Malpighiales; Euphorbiaceae
Source: RNAcentral
GGGAAAUCGGGUUCGAUUGAUUCAGAAUCUAAAACAGUGUGAACCCCUCUUUCUGAAUUGCAUGUUGGAUUUAGGAGGUUUUAUUAUAGAAAGAAAGAAACGGAUUCAAAUGAAUGAACAGAAGAGAAUGAGAGGUCGUGAUUGUUAACAGCGAAGUACACGGUACAAAAACCAACCUGGGCUUAGGCCUUAGGGGCCGUUUCCACCGCAUCCGAAUC